UACCUGGUUGAUCCUGCCAGUGGUCAUAUGCUUGUCUCUAGGACUAAGCCAUGCACGUAUAAGUGUAAGCGAUUUACAGUGAAACUGCGAAUGGCUCAUUAAAUCAGUAAUAGUCUCUUUGAUGGAAGCCGCUACAUGGAUAACCGUAGAAAAUCUAGAGCUAAUACACGCCAAGGAGUCAUGGCCUAGCAUUUUUGUUGGGGCGUGCGGUAUCUAUUAGAGGCCAAGACGAUGGCGCACUAGUGUGUCUUCUUUCGUGAGUCAUGUUAACUGUACGAAUCGAGGGCUUGUUGGCAAGCGUGGAUGGUUCAUUGGAAUUUCUGCCCUAUCAACUUUCGAUGGUAAGAUAGAGGCUUACCAUGGUGGUUACGGGUGACGGCGAAUGGGGGGUUCUAUUCCGGAGAGGGGGCCGUGAGAAACGGCCACCACUUCCAAGGAAGGCAGCAGGCGCGCAAAUUACCCAAUGGCGACACGCCGAGGUAGUGACGACCAAUACCGAUGGGACCCCCUUUGGGGGCCCCAAUUGGAAUGAGUACAAAGUACAAGCCUUAACGAGGAACAAUUGGAGGGCAAGUCUGGUGCCAGCAGCCGCGGUAAUUCCAGCUCCAAUAUCGUAUAUUAAAGCUGUCGCGGUUAAAAAGCUGGUAGUGGAUUGAGUCUAGUUGCGGCCGGGCUCAGGGCU
Molecule: non-coding RNA, 682 nt
Filed under: Thecamonas trahens ATCC 50062
Lineage: Eukaryota; Apusomonadida; Apusomonadidae
Description: Eukaryotic small subunit ribosomal RNA
Rfam family: Eukaryotic small subunit ribosomal RNA
Source: Rfam by way of RNAcentral